UUGACGGGGGCCCGCACAAGCGGCGGAGCAUGCGGAUUAAUUCGAUGCAACGCGAAGAACCUUACCUGGGUUUGACAUGGAUUGGUAACGGUCAGAGAUGGCCGCCCCCCUUGUGGGCCGAUUCACAGGUGGUGCAUGGCUGUCGUCAGCUCGUGUCGUGAGAUGUUGGGUUAAGUCCCGCAACGAGCGCAACCCUCGUCCACUGUUGCCAGCAAUUCGGUUGGGGACUCAGUGGAGACCGCCGGGGUCAACUCGGAGGAAGGUGGGGAUGACGUCAAGUCAUCAUGCCCCUUAUGUCCAGGGCUUCACGCAUGCUACAAUGGCCGGUACAAAGAGUUGCGACACUGUGAGGUGGAGCGAAUCUCAAAAAGCCGGUCUCAGUUCGGAUUGGGGUCUGCAACUCGACCCCAUGAAGUCGGAGUCGCUAGUAAUCGCAGAUCAGCAACGCUGCGGUGAAUACGCC
This 463-nucleotide ribosomal RNA is filed under the name uncultured Acidipropionibacterium sp. RNAcentral's name for it is "bacterial SSU rRNA". It matches the Rfam family "Bacterial small subunit ribosomal RNA", at positions 910 to 1372 of the family's 1533-position model. The record is from RNAcentral. Lineage: Bacteria; Bacillati; Actinomycetota; Actinomycetes; Propionibacteriales; Propionibacteriaceae.